GAUGAACGCUGGCGGCGUGCCUAAUACAUGCAAGUCGAACGCAUUGUGGUUGAAAUGAUAUGAAGAACUUGUUCAGAUUUGAUUUUCAACAUUGCAAUGAGUGGCGAACGGGUGAGUAACACGUGGGAAACCUACCUCUUAGCAGGGGAUAACAUUUGGAAACAAAUGCUAAUACCGUAUAAUAAUUAAAACCGCAUGGUUUUAGUUUAAAAAGAUGGUCUUGCUAUCACUAAGAGAUGGUCCCGCGGUGUAUUAGUUAGUUGGUGAGGUAAUGGCUCACCAAGACAAUGAUACAUAGCCGAGUUGAGAGACUGACCGGCCACAAUGGGACUGAGACACGGCCCAUACUCCUACGGGAGGCAGCAGUAGGGAAUCUUCCACAAUGGACGAAAGUACUGAUGGAGCAACGCCGCGUGUGUGAUGAAGGUUUCGGCUCGUAAAACACU
This 446-nucleotide ribosomal RNA is filed under the name uncultured bacterium. RNAcentral's name for it is "bacterial SSU rRNA". It matches the Rfam family "Bacterial small subunit ribosomal RNA", at positions 28 to 434 of the family's 1533-position model. The record is from RNAcentral.